UAGGGAUCUUCCACAAUGGGCGAAAGCCUGAUGGAGCAAUGCCGCGUGUGUGAUGAAGGGUUUCGGCUCGUAAAACACUGUUGUAAGAGAAGAAUGACAUUGAGAGUAACUGUUCAAUGUGUGACGGUAUCUUACCAGAAAGGAACGGCUAAAUACGUACCAG
RNAcentral lists this ribosomal RNA (163 nucleotides) under uncultured bacterium. Its description in RNAcentral is "partial 16S rRNA". It matches the Rfam family "Bacterial small subunit ribosomal RNA", at positions 356 to 511 of the family's 1533-position model. The record is from RNAcentral.